This 73-nucleotide transfer RNA is filed under the name Actinomycetaceae bacterium. Its description in RNAcentral is "tRNA-Lys". It matches the Rfam family "tRNA". Rfam says of the family: Transfer RNA (tRNA) molecules are approximately 80 nucleotides in length. Their secondary structure includes four short double-helical elements and three loops (D, anti-codon, and T loops). The record is from RNAcentral. Lineage: Bacteria; Bacillati; Actinomycetota; Actinomycetes; Actinomycetales; Actinomycetaceae.
GCACCGUUAGCUCAGUUGGUAGAGCAACUGACUCUUAAUCAGUGGGUCCAGGGUUCGAGUCCCUGACGGUGUA